This is a long non-coding RNA of Rhododendron vialii, 224 nucleotides long. RefSeq lists it as uncharacterized. The transcript has 2 exons. The record is from RefSeq and is a predicted model, not a curated record. Lineage: Eukaryota; Viridiplantae; Streptophyta; Magnoliopsida; Ericales; Ericaceae.
UCUCUCUCUCUCUCUCACCAAACGCAGACGUAACCACGGAGAAUUGGCAGAGAAUUGAAGUCAUAGGAAAAUGUAGCAGAAAGAGGGGUACGUUACAAAGAGAGAGAGAGAGAGAGAGAGAGAGAGAAAGACGUACACUUGAUGGUAGAGAUAAUGAUGAGGUUAUUUGGUUUUAAUCAGGGAACAAUUAGUCAGUCAAAAUUAAACAAUGAUUGAGAUGCUUA